ACGAACGCUGGCGGCGUGCUUAAUACAUGCAAGUCAACUUGACUUUAGAUAGCAAUAUCGAAAAGUAGGGUGGCGCACGGGGUGCGUAACGCGUAGGUAAUCUGCCCUGAGGUCUGACAUAACCCGUCGAAAGGCGGGCUAAACAUCAGAUGAUAUAUAAUCACGACAUCGUGGAAAUAUCAAAUCUUCGGAGCCUUGGGAUGAGCCUGCGUCUGAUUAGGUAGUUGGCGGAGUAAUAGCCCACCAAGCCUACGAUCAGUAGCUGGUCUGAGAGGAUGAUCAGCCACACUGGAACUGAGACACGGUCCAGACUCCUACGGGAGGCAGCAGUAAGGAAUAUUGCUCAAUGGGGGAAACCCUGAAGCAGCAACGCCGCGUGAAGGAUGAAAUACUUUGUAUGUAAACUUCUGUAAGAUGGGAAAAAUAUUCUCCUCGGGAGAAUUGAUUGUACCAUCAGAGUAAGCCCCGGCUAACUACGUG
Molecule: ribosomal RNA, 480 nt
Filed under: uncultured bacterium
Lineage: Bacteria
Description: bacterial SSU rRNA
Rfam family: Bacterial small subunit ribosomal RNA
Source: RNAcentral